RNAcentral lists this unclassified non-coding RNA (200 nucleotides) under soil metagenome. RNAcentral's name for it is "partial contains internal transcribed spacer 2 and large subunit ribosomal RNA". The record is from RNAcentral.
AAUAGAUUUGAAGGCUUUUUAGAGUAAUUUCUAAUCCUUUGAAAUAAAGUUUGUUGGUGAUUGAUUUGGUCACUACCAUGUGCUAAAGGCUUCAUGUCUUGUCAUGUUAAUGAUCAUGGUCAACCCAUUGCAAAGUAUCCUAAUUUUGCAAAACUACCUUUAAUGGUCUCAAAUCAGGCAAGACUACCCGCUGAACUUAA